CUAAAUCAAAUAUUCAACAGGGUGAUUAAGAAGCAAAUCAAAGCUAACUCCAAAUUGCUGAGAGUUAAGGUCCAAAAAUACCUUAGAUUUUGAACCAAGUGUUAAAACUCCCUCCUAUUCAGAAUAACUUGUGAAGCAAAUAAAAACAAAUUUUAAAUAAGGACUUAAACAUUGGCUAAUAUAAAAUUGGUAGAAGUUUCCAAGUUGAGCAACCUUUCUAAUUGCACUUUUCUUGAAACUGAGCAGAGAGUGUUCCAAAUCAAGUGGACAAUCGGCCAAAUUUCAAAUUCGAUUAAAAAAUAGCUUUUGACCGAUGUUCCACCAAAGAUCC
Molecule: long non-coding RNA, 331 nt
Filed under: Setaria viridis
Lineage: Eukaryota; Viridiplantae; Streptophyta; Magnoliopsida; Poales; Poaceae
Description: long non-coding RNA (SVIR_LNC001830)
Source: RNAcentral